UACGUAGGGUGCGAGCGUUAAUCGGAAUUACUGGGCGUAAAGCGUGCGUAGGCGGUUCGUUAAGUGCGUCGUGAAAGCCCCGGGCUCAACCUGGGAAUGGCGAUGGAAACCGGCGGGCUGGAGUAUGGCAGAGGGGGGUGGAAUUCCGCGUGUAGCAGUGAAAUGCGUAGAGAUGCGGAGGAACACCGAUGGCGAAGGCAGCCCCCUGGGCCAAUACUGACGCUCAGGCACGAAAGCGUGGGGAGCAAACAGG
RNAcentral lists this ribosomal RNA (253 nucleotides) under uncultured bacterium. RNAcentral describes it as "partial 16S ribosomal RNA". It matches the Rfam family "Bacterial small subunit ribosomal RNA", at positions 524 to 776 of the family's 1533-position model. The record is from RNAcentral.